RNAcentral lists this ribosomal RNA (257 nucleotides) under uncultured bacterium. Its description in RNAcentral is "partial 16S ribosomal RNA". It matches the Rfam family "Bacterial small subunit ribosomal RNA", at positions 524 to 777 of the family's 1533-position model. The record is from RNAcentral.
UACGAAGGUCCCAAGCGUUGUUCGGAAUCACUGGGCGUAAAGGGAGCGUAGGCGGCGUGGUAAGUCAGAUGUGAAAUCCCGGGGCUCAACCCCGGAACUGCAUCCGAUACUGCCGUGCUUGAGGGUUGGAGAGGUAGCUGGGAAUUCUCGGUGUAGCAGUGAAAAUGCGUGGAUAUCGAGAGGAACACUCGUGGCGAAGGCGAGCUACUGGACAACAUCUGACGCUGAGGCUCGAAGGCGUAGGGGAGCAAAAAGGG